Molecule: transfer RNA, 73 nt
Filed under: Trichobilharzia regenti
Lineage: Eukaryota; Metazoa; Platyhelminthes; Trematoda; Strigeidida; Schistosomatidae
Rfam family: tRNA
About the family: Transfer RNA (tRNA) molecules are approximately 80 nucleotides in length. Their secondary structure includes four short double-helical elements and three loops (D, anti-codon, and T loops).
Source: Rfam by way of RNAcentral
GUCCCAGUAGUUAAAUGGUCUACAAGCCUGACUUUUAAUCAUAAGGUCCUGGGUUCGAAACCCGGCGGGUACU